CACGAGUGCUCCAAGCGUUAUCCGGAAUUACUGGGCGUAAAGGGUGUGUAGGCGGUUCUGUUAGUCUUUUGUUAAAGCCCUUGGCUCAACCAAGGGACGGCAAAGGAAACGGCAGAACUAGAGGAUGCGAGAGGUAAGCGGAACUCACGGUGUAGAGGUGAAAUUCGUUGAUAUCGUGGGGAACACCAAAAGCGAAGGCAGCUUACUGGCGCACUCCUGACGCUGAGGCACGAAAGCCAGGGUAGCGAACGGG
This 253-nucleotide unclassified non-coding RNA is filed under the name uncultured Parcubacteria group bacterium. Its description in RNAcentral is "contains 16S-23S intergenic spacer region". It matches the Rfam family "Bacterial small subunit ribosomal RNA", at positions 524 to 776 of the family's 1533-position model. The record is from RNAcentral.